This 263-nucleotide ribosomal RNA is filed under the name uncultured bacterium. RNAcentral's name for it is "partial 16S ribosomal RNA". It matches the Rfam family "Bacterial small subunit ribosomal RNA", at positions 95 to 354 of the family's 1533-position model. The record is from RNAcentral.
CCGGCGCGACGGGUGAGUAACACGUAGUACGGAACCUCGCCCGCAGCGAGGGGAUAGCGGAAGAAAUUCCGUCUAAUACCGCGUAACACCGCAGAGGGGCAUCCCUCGGCGGUUAAAGAUUCAUCGGCUGCGGAUGGCCAUGCGGCGCACUAGCUAGUCGGCGGGGUAACGGCCCACCGAGGCGACGAUGCGUAGGGGUUCUGAGAGGAAGGUCCCCCACACUGGUACUGAGACACGGACCAGACUUCUACGGAAGGCAGCAG